GAUGAACGCUAGCGGCAGGCUUAACACAUGCAAGUCGAGGGGUAGGAGAAGCUUGCUUUUCUGAGACCGGCGCACGGGUGCGUAACGCGUAUGCAAUCUACCUUUCACAGAGGGAUAGCCCAGAGAAAUUUGGAUUAAUACCUCAUAGUAUAAUUGAAUGGCAUCAUUUAAUUAUUAAAGAUUUAUCGGUGAAAGAUGAGCAUGCGUCCCAUUAGCUAGUUGGUAUGGUAACGGCAUACCAAGGCAACGAUGGGUAGGGGUCCUGAGAGGGAGAUCCCCCACACUGGUACUGAGACACGGACCAGACUCCUACGGGAGGCAGCAGUGAGGAAUAUUGGACAAUGGGCGCAAGCCUGAUCCAGCCAUGCCGCGUGCAGGAUGACGGUCCUAUGGAUUGUAAACUGCUUUUAUACAGGAAGAAACACUCCCUCGUGAGGGAGCUUGACGGUACUGUAAGAAUAAGGAUCGGCUAACUCCGUGCCAGCAGCCGCGGUAAUACGGAGGAUCCAAGCGUUAUCCGGAAUCAUUGGGUUUAAAGGGUCCGUAGGCGGUCAGGUAAGUCAGUGGUGAAAGCCCAUCGCUCAACGGUGGAACGGCCAUUGAUACUGUCUGACUUGAAUUAUUAGGAAGUAACUAGAAUAUGUAGUGUAGCGGUGAAAUGCUUAGAGAUUACAUGGAAUACCAAUUGCGAAGGCAGGUUACUACUAAUUGAUUGACGCUGAUGGACGAAAGCGUGGGUAGCGAACAGGAUUAGAUACCCUGGUAGUCCGCGCCGUAAACGAUGGAUACUAGCUGUUGGGAGCAAUCUCAGUGGCUAAGCGAAAGUGAUAAGUAUCCCACCUGGGGAGUACGAACGCAAGUUUGAAACUCAAAGGAAUUGACGGGGGCCCGCACAAGCGGUGGAGCAUGUGGUUUAAUUCGAUGAUACGCGAGGAACCUUACCAAGGCUUAAAUGUAGAUUGACCGUUUGGAAACAGAACUUC
Molecule: ribosomal RNA, 983 nt
Filed under: uncultured bacterium
Lineage: Bacteria
Description: bacterial SSU rRNA
Rfam family: Bacterial small subunit ribosomal RNA
Source: RNAcentral